AGUGAACGCUGGCGGCGUGCUUUACACAUGCAAGUCGAACGAGAACGGGAUAUAGCUUGCUAUAUUUGUCAGCUAAGUGGCGCACGGGUGAGUAAUGUAUAGAUAACCUGCCCUCUAGAAAGGAAUAACAGUUGGAAACGACUGCUAAUGCCCUAUAUGCCUUUAAUACAUAAGUAUGCAAGGGAAACGCUUUAGUGCUAGAGGAUGGGUCUGUAUGGUAUCAGCUUGUUGGUGAGGUAAUGGCUCACCAAGGCUAUGACGCCUAACUGGUUUGAGAGGAUGAGCAGUCACACUGGAACUGAGACACGGUCCAGACUCCUACGGGAGGCAGCAGUGGGGAAUAUUGCACAAUGGACGAAAGUCUGAUGCAGCAACGCCGCGUGGAGGAUGACACAUUUCGGUGCGUAAACUCCUUUUAUAUAGGAAGAUAAUGACGGUACUAUAUGAAUAAGCACCGGCUAACUCCGUGCCAGCCGCCGCCGUAA
RNAcentral lists this ribosomal RNA (485 nucleotides) under uncultured bacterium. RNAcentral's name for it is "partial 16S ribosomal RNA". It matches the Rfam family "Bacterial small subunit ribosomal RNA", at positions 29 to 523 of the family's 1533-position model. The record is from RNAcentral.